RNAcentral lists this ribosomal RNA (441 nucleotides) under uncultured bacterium. RNAcentral describes it as "partial 16S ribosomal RNA". It matches the Rfam family "Bacterial small subunit ribosomal RNA", at positions 339 to 795 of the family's 1533-position model. The record is from RNAcentral.
CUACGGGAUGCUCCAGUCAAGAAUCUUCCGCAAUGCGCGAAAGCGUGACGGAGCGAUGCCGCGUGCAGGAAGACGCCCUUCGGGGUGUAAACUGCUUUUAUAAGGGAAGAAUUUGUGACGGUACCUUAUGAAUAAGAGGUUGCUAACUCUGUGCCAGCAGCAGCGGUAAUACAGAGACCUCGAGCGUUGUCCGGAUUCAUUGGGCGUAAAGCGUCCGCAGGUGGUUUUGUAAGUCAGUGGUCAAAUCCCGGUGCUUAACAUCGGGACUGCUAUUGAUACUGCGAAACUUGAGGCUGGGAGAGGCACGCGGAACUGUCGGUGUAGUAGUAAAAUGCGUUGAUAUCGACAGGAACACCAAAGGCGAAGGCAGCGUGCUGGAACAGUUCUGACACUCAUGGACGGAAGCGUGGGUAGCGAAUGGGAUUAGAUACCCGCGUAGUC